GCUCCGUUGGUGAACCAGCGGAGGGAUCAUUACAAGAGAGUUAGCAAUAACUCAUAACCCUUUGUGAACAUACCAUUCUGUCUGUUGCUUCGGCGGGCGGCCGUUCCCCGAGAGGGGGCGCCGCCCGCCGGAGGGACGCAACCCAAACUCUUGCUGUAACCACAGUGGCACAUCCGAGUCAAAACGAACAAACAAAUUAAAACUUUCAACAACGGAUCUCUUGGUUCUGGCAUCGAUGAAGAACGCAGU
RNAcentral lists this unclassified non-coding RNA (249 nucleotides) under plant metagenome. RNAcentral describes it as "partial contains small subunit ribosomal RNA, internal transcribed spacer 1, and 5.8S ribosomal RNA". The stretch from base 201 to 249 matches the Rfam family "5.8S ribosomal RNA", at positions 1 to 49 of the family's 154-position model. The record is from RNAcentral.